Molecule: long non-coding RNA, 295 nt
Organism: Zophobas morio
Lineage: Eukaryota; Metazoa; Arthropoda; Insecta; Coleoptera; Tenebrionidae
Exons: 4
Source: RefSeq, a predicted model, not a curated record
UAUGUCUCAACCAGCCGUUGCUCCCCAGUUUCUGCCUUUGGAGUUAAUAGACAAGUGUAUCGGCAGUCGGAUUUGGGUUAUAAUGAAGUAUGACAAAGAACUUGUCGGUACUCUUCUUGGAUUUGAUAAAUUUGUAAACAUGGUCUUAGAAGAUGUUACAGAAUUUGAGACCACCAGCGAAGGAAGGCUCAUCACGAAAAUUGAACAAAUUUUAUUAAAUGGAAAUAAUAUAGCGAUGCUCAUUCCUGGAGGCUCUGGCCCACUGCAAUAAUCUUGCCUAGUACUAAAGGUGAGA